Molecule: non-coding RNA, 74 nt
Organism: Gossypium arboreum
Lineage: Eukaryota; Viridiplantae; Streptophyta; Magnoliopsida; Malvales; Malvaceae
Source: Rfam
AGGGAUGUAGUGCAGCUUGGCAGUGCGUUUGUUUUGGGUACAACAUGUUACGGGUUCAAAUCUUGUUAUCCCUA